AGACCGUUAGCUCAAUGGUAGAGCACCAGACUAUGAAUCUGGCUGUAGCAAGUUCGAAUCUUGCACGGUUCA
RNAcentral lists this transfer RNA (72 nucleotides) under Blastopirellula marina DSM 3645. Its description in RNAcentral is "tRNA-His". It matches the Rfam family "tRNA". Rfam says of the family: Transfer RNA (tRNA) molecules are approximately 80 nucleotides in length. Their secondary structure includes four short double-helical elements and three loops (D, anti-codon, and T loops). Lineage: Bacteria; Pseudomonadati; Planctomycetota; Planctomycetia; Pirellulales; Pirellulaceae. The record is from RNAcentral.